CUUGACCUCAAAUCCAAAUCAGGUAGGACUACCCGCUGAACUUAAGCAUAUCAAUAAGCGGAGGAAAAGAAACUAACAAGGAUUCCCCUAGU
Molecule: ribosomal RNA, 92 nt
Filed under: Bolbitius lacteus
Lineage: Eukaryota; Fungi; Basidiomycota; Agaricomycetes; Agaricales; Bolbitiaceae
Description: partial 28S ribosomal RNA
Rfam family: Eukaryotic large subunit ribosomal RNA
Source: RNAcentral